RNAcentral lists this ribosomal RNA (253 nucleotides) under uncultured bacterium. RNAcentral describes it as "partial 16S ribosomal RNA". It matches the Rfam family "Bacterial small subunit ribosomal RNA", at positions 524 to 776 of the family's 1533-position model. The record is from RNAcentral.
UACGUAGGGGGCAAGCGUUAUCCGGAUUUACUGGGUGUAAAGGGAGCGUAGACGGUUAUGCAAGUCUGAAGUGAAAGCCCAAGGCUCAACCUGUGGCCUGCAUUUGAAACUGUUUUUCUUGAGUGCUGGAGAGGCAAUCGGAAUUCCGUGUGUAGCGGUGAAAUGCGUAGAUAUACGGAGGAACACCAGUGGCGAAGGCGGAUUGCUGGACAGUAACUGACGCUGAGGCGCGAAAGCGUGGGGAGCAAACAGG